GUCAGGAGCUACUGUUGUAUUUUGAGUUCCAUUCUUCUGCUGCAUUCUUCUCCUUGCCAUAUAACCUCUGAUCCAAGGGGUGACAUCCUCAUUUAUCUUGAUCAUUAUAAAAAAGAUGAUGCGGUAUGCCACAAUCAUGCUGAAGAGGACGCUGAGAUCCACCCAUUUUGAUCGGUGCACAUCUAUCUGGAAUAUAUUUUCUAGUAUGUACUCACCAGGAACUUUGGGAAGAUCUGGUGAUUGAUUGUCGAACAACAAGCCUCUCA
Molecule: unclassified non-coding RNA, 266 nt
Filed under: Hevea brasiliensis (rubber tree)
Lineage: Eukaryota; Viridiplantae; Streptophyta; Magnoliopsida; Malpighiales; Euphorbiaceae
Source: RNAcentral